CCUACGGGAGGCAGCAGUCGAGAAUCAUUCACAAUGGGGGAAACCCUGAUGGUGCGACGCCGCGUGGGGGAAUGAAGGUCUUCGGAUUGUAAACCCCUGUCAUGUGGGAGCAAAUUAAAAAGAUAGUACCACAAGAGGAAGAGACGGCUAACUCUGUGCCAGCAGCCGCGGUAAUACAGAGGUCUCAAGCGUUGUUCGGAAUCACUGGGCGUAAAGCGUGCGUAGGCUGUUUCAUAAGUCGUGUGUGAAAGGCGCGGGCUCAACCCGCGGACGGCACAUGAUACUGGGAGACUAGAGUAAUGGAGGGGGAACCGGAAUUCUCGGUGUAGCAGUGAAAUGCGUAGAUAUCGAGAAGAACACUCGUGGCGAAGGCGGGUUACUGGACAUUAACUGACGCUGAGGCACGAAGGCCAGGGGAGCGAAAGGGAUUAGAUACCCGUGUAGUC
Molecule: ribosomal RNA, 446 nt
Filed under: uncultured bacterium
Lineage: Bacteria
Description: partial 16S ribosomal RNA
Rfam family: Bacterial small subunit ribosomal RNA
Source: RNAcentral